GGAGUUGACUGGGUAAUCGCUGCUUCAUUGAUGUCCUUCGGGAGACUGAUGGAGGGGAGGAACGUCCGGGCUCCAUAGAGCAGGGUGCCAGGUAACGCCUGGGGAGCGUGAGCUCACGACAAGUGCAGCAGAGAGAAGACCGCCGAUGGCCUCAUUUCUUCGGAAGAGGCACAGGUAAGGCUGAAAGGGUGCGGUAAGAGCGCACCGUGCGUCUGGUAACAGUUCGUAGCAAGGUAAACUCCACCCGGAGCAAGAUCAAAUAGGCCCUCACAUUGCGCUGCUCGCGUAUGGGGGCGGGUAGAUUGCUUGAGCCUGUGAGCGAUUGCAGGCCUAGACGAAUGGUUAC
RNAcentral lists this RNase P RNA (346 nucleotides) under Vibrio genomosp. F10 str. 9ZD137. RNAcentral's name for it is "partial RNase P RNA component class A". It matches the Rfam family "Bacterial RNase P class A", at positions 1 to 319 of the family's 367-position model. Rfam says of the family: Ribonuclease P (RNase P) is a ubiquitous endoribonuclease, found in archaea, bacteria and eukarya as well as chloroplasts and mitochondria. Its best characterised activity is the generation of mature 5'-ends of tRNAs by cleaving the 5'-leader elements of precursor-tRNAs. Cellular RNase Ps are ribonucleoproteins. The record is from RNAcentral. Lineage: Bacteria; Pseudomonadati; Pseudomonadota; Gammaproteobacteria; Vibrionales; Vibrionaceae.